GGUGUUUGCUGCUUUCCUUGUGGCUCGCCUCAAAUGUGUUAGUGCACCUCUUGGUUGGACAUAGAACGGCGUGAUAAGUGUCUUCGCCGGCACCUCGCAAGAGGGUGGCCAAUUGGGAGCUCUGUGCUUUCAAACCGUCUUCGGACAAUCUCUGACAACUUGACCUCAAAUCGAGUAGGACUACCCGCUGAACUUAAGCAUAUCAAUAAGCGGAGGAAAAGAAACUAACAAGGAUUCCCCUAGUAACGGCGAGUGAAGAGGGAAGAGCUCAAAUUUUGAAUCUGGCGUCUUUGGCGUCUGAAUUGUAAUCUAGAGAAGUGUUUUCCGUGAUGGACCGUGCACAAGUCUCCUGGAAUGGAGCGUCAUAGAGGGUGAGAAUCCCGUAUAUGGCACGGACUACCGUUGCUCUGUGAUACACUCUCGACGAGUCGAGUUGUUUGGGAAUGCAGCUCUAAAUGGGUGGUAAAUGCCAUCUAAAGCUAAAUAUUGGCGAGAGACCGAUAGCGAACAAGUACCGUGAGGGAAAGAUGAAAAGCACUUUGGAAAGAGAGUGAAACAGUACGUGAAAUUGUUGAAAGGGAAACGCUUGAAGUCAGUCGCGCCGUUCGGGAUUCAGCCUUGCUUCUGCUCGGUUUACUUCCCGUUGGGUGGGUCAACAUCAGUUUUGGUCGGAGGAGAAAGGCUUGGGGAAGGUGGCAGCAUUCGUGCUGUGUUAUAGCCCCUCGUUGUAUACUUCGACUGGGACUGAGGAUCGCAGCACGCCUUUGGCCGGGGUUCGCCCACGUACGUGCUUAGGAUGUUGGCAUAAUGGCUUUAAGCGACCCGUCUUGAAAUACGGA
RNAcentral lists this ribosomal RNA (839 nucleotides) under uncultured Sebacinales. RNAcentral's name for it is "eukaryotic LSU rRNA". The stretch from base 161 to 839 matches the Rfam family "Eukaryotic large subunit ribosomal RNA", at positions 1 to 665 of the family's 3401-position model. Lineage: Eukaryota; Fungi; Basidiomycota; Agaricomycetes; Sebacinales. The record is from RNAcentral.